CCUACGGGUGGCAGCAGUAGGGAAUAUUGCUCAAUGGGGGAAACCCUGAAGCAGCAACGCAGCGUGGAGGAUGAAGGUUUUCGGAUUGUAAACUCCUUUUGUUAGAGAAGAAAAUGACGGUAUCUAACGAAUAAGCACCGGCUAACACCGGGCCAGCAGCCGCGGUAAUACGGGGGGUGCAAGCGUUACACGGAUUCACUGGGCUGAAAGGGCGCGUAGGCGGGUUAGCAAGUCCGAUGUGAAAUCCUAUGGCUUAACCGUAGAACUGCAGUUGAAACUGGUAGUCUAGAGUAUGGGAGAGGUAGGUGGAAUUCUUGGUGUAGCGGUGAAAUCCGUAGAGAUCACGAAGAAUACUCAUUGCGAAGGCGACCUGCUAGAACAUAACUGACGCUGAUGCGCGAAAGUGUGGGGAGCAAACAGGAUUAGAUACCCUAGUAGUC
This 440-nucleotide ribosomal RNA is filed under the name uncultured bacterium. RNAcentral's name for it is "partial 16S ribosomal RNA". It matches the Rfam family "Bacterial small subunit ribosomal RNA", at positions 338 to 795 of the family's 1533-position model. The record is from RNAcentral.